GUUGUUAGGAAGGUCUUCUGGGAGCCCUGUCACGGGGGUGAGACUGGAGGUCAGCGGACUGGUUAAGGCAAUCCUAGAGCAAUUCUGCAGGACCUAAUUGGACCCUGAGAAUGAGGGGAAAUGAGUUGAGAAAUGCCAAGGAUUGUAGCUUGGGUCCAUGAAUCAGUAGGACGCUGUUACGGAGUUAAACAGAGCCUUUAAAAACAGGUAAAACCUGUUAAGAGAUCAAAUAUUGAAUGAACUAAUUAAUGAAAGACUGGGUGGAGAGUGAGGAAUGGAGAAGUCGUGUAACAAAGGCGAAGCAGAAGGGGUGGAAGUCGGGAAACAAGUUUGGUUUGGGAUCCAUGGAAACUGAGGUCUCUCCAGCAACCAGGUAAAGACACCACCAGUUGACUGACCGAGUUGGAGACAUCCAACAUGAAUACUGCAUGCGAACCUACUGAUCCAAACAAUCGGACUCAAAAUAGAGCACCCCCAGAAAAGCCACAGACUCUUAAAGUGGCCGGAAGCUAGCACACCCGAGGACGUCUACUCAAGGGAGUGAGAAGUAGAGAAGAGGAAAAGGCGCUCAAGGCUCCCUUGACCCACAGCAGAAAUGACAUGACAUCUGGGAUUUGCUUUGAAAUUAACUGAUGGAGAUCAGACGAAACACCACUGGCUGUGAACCACUGAGGCUGAAUACAUAACUGAGGACAAGGAACAAUGACGGAGGAAUGCAAGGAAGAAGAGCGUGGCUGAGCACAUCAGCGGGCAAGAGCCAUCUGAGGGGGAAGCAGGGUAUCUAAGAGAAAGCAAUCCUAGGCCAGGUCCCCCGGGUAAGAUGGACUGGUACAAGGGAGAGAGAUCCAGGAACGGGGCCUUGGCAGGACAGGUCCUGUAACAAUCAGGCAAGCCUUGGAUGGUGACUAACAGACGUGCACAUCUGAGCAGGAGAUCGGCAAUCAAAAGGCUGAAGGAUUCCGCAGCGGAUCUCCUCCUUCCAGAUUUCCAUUUUUCUCCUGUUGCGUUUCUCAGCCAGGGAUGGUCUCUGCAAUUAAAUGACCGAAAGGUCCUUUUUCUCCACAAGCCCCAUUCCGAAGACAGGCUCUGUGCCUACCUGGGGACUGAGAUGCUGGCUUUUUGAGCUCUCCUGGGAAAAUGGGAACAAAGGCUCUAAAUAUGGCUCAAAACCCUUGCACGAGACCACAUGGAAAAGGCAGCAUGAGGCUGGCAGGAGGAGGAGCCCAUCAGAAGUAAAAGGCUCUGCAUCCAGGACCCAUCCCGUUCGGAUCGCUGUGCAAGAUUUCUCCAACCAAAGCUCCCGGGUCCCAAGUGUAAGGCUGACUGGAUUCCCAUCAGGAAACUGCGCAAGGGUAUGUUCUUGUACAGAGUCUCUCCAACGUUAUUCUUGGCUCUGCUAACAUUGCUUUGGCUUUAAAAAAAUCAAUAAAUAAAGCAAGCAGAAGGUCCCUUCACAUCCAGGCUGGACUAAAGGGGCUUUGCCCUUACCAAGCCAAAGGGAUAUUUAGCCCAAGGAGAUCACUUCUGCUGGAUACCUGAUGCUUCACAUGAUUUUUCCUUGGGAAGGCCAGCAGUUCACAGGAAGCUUUGCUACAUGAGAAUCGAUGUUGCUAAGCUACCAAAAGUCACUGUGGUGAGAGAAA
Mustela lutreola (European mink) is the source of this 1643-nucleotide long non-coding RNA. RefSeq lists it as uncharacterized. The record is from RefSeq and is a predicted model, not a curated record. NCBI's taxonomy places the organism in Eukaryota, Metazoa, Chordata, Mammalia, Carnivora, Mustelidae. The transcript has 4 exons.